GACGAACCACACAAACGUUAUUCGGAAUUACUGGGCUUAAAGGGUGCGUAGGCGGCGCUAAAAGUUGGGUGUGAAAUCCCUCGGCUUAACCGAGGAACUGCGCUCUAAACUACUGUGCUCGAGGGAGAUAGAGGUGAGCGGAACUUAGGGUGGAGCGGUGAAAUGCGUUGAUAUCCUAAGGAACACCGGUGGCGAAAGCGGCUCACUGGAUCUCUUCUGACGCUGAGGCACGAAAGCUAGGGUAGCAAACGGG
Molecule: ribosomal RNA, 253 nt
Filed under: uncultured bacterium
Lineage: Bacteria
Description: partial 16S ribosomal RNA
Rfam family: Bacterial small subunit ribosomal RNA
Source: RNAcentral